CGCAAUGUUUCCGAGUUCUUAGCCCAUUUGGGACCCAAUUUCAACAAGUCUUUCUACACACUUCUAAACACUCUUCAUGCAUCUGUAGCACUUGUAAUCAAUCAAAUUCAUUGUAUUCUAACAUAUUCUAACCCCAAACAACACUAGAUAAGUCAUUUAGUGGUUCAACGCAAUAUUUCCGAGUUUUUAGCCCAUUUGGGACCCAAUUUCAACAAGUCUUUCUCCAUA
This 228-nucleotide long non-coding RNA is filed under the name Capsella grandiflora. RNAcentral's name for it is "long non-coding RNA (CGRA_LNC001168)". The record is from RNAcentral. Lineage: Eukaryota; Viridiplantae; Streptophyta; Magnoliopsida; Brassicales; Brassicaceae.